This 955-nucleotide long non-coding RNA is filed under the name Vigna radiata. RNAcentral describes it as "long non-coding RNA (VRAD_LNC001446)". Lineage: Eukaryota; Viridiplantae; Streptophyta; Magnoliopsida; Fabales; Fabaceae. The record is from RNAcentral.
UUUAAUGAUUUUCCAAAAGUUAUUAUCACUUGUAUAAGGCCUAAAGAGUAACAACAAUUUUAUUUUAAGGUUACAUCUUUCACAUAUAUAAAAAAAAAAAGUAAAAUAAUCUAGCCGAUAGAAAUUAACACCGGGAGCCAAUACUUUAAUUUCAUUCAGAAGAGCUGUAAACAACCAGAUAUAAAUGUCAAAACCACGAACAUCACGACUACAAACAUUUAACACACAAAACAGAACACCUAAUUUCAAUUGACUUAAUUAUAAACCCUAUUCUACAACAUCAAGAUCUAGUUCCAGCUACCACCGUCUCCUCCAUCACCACCACGAGAGCGGGAUCCACUAUCACCAUAACUACGAUCUCUACCACCACCAUAACCACCUCCUCCACCAUAACCACCGCUGUUACGGCUGUACCCUCCUUCACGUCGACCACCGUAUCCACCGCCACCGCCAUAUCCACCACCACCACCAUAUCCACCGCCUCCACCACGAUUGUAUCCACCCCCACCACCUCCAUAUCCACCACCACCACGGCCACCACCUCCUCCGCCAGAACCACGAGACUGAGCUUCGUUCACAGUGAUGUUACGACCGUCAAGGUUCUGACCGUUCAUUCCUUGGAUCGCGUCUCUCAUGGCCUGCUCCGUAGAGAAAGUCACGAAUCCAAAACCCCUAGACCUUCCAGUCUCACGAUCAUUGAUAAUCUGCAAAAUGAAACGCAAUAAAAAAUCAGAUCUAAGAAAAAACGCAAAAACAAAACCGAAUAGAACCCGAUCGAUCUUCGCCUUUGAUUAAAGGAUGAAGAUGAACGUACCUAUUGGCGUGAGUAAAAAAAGAAUCAUAUAGUAACACAAGUAUCAUAGAUCAAGUAACGGAAAAAAUAUCAGAUCACAGAUCAGAACGGGAUCGACAAAUUCCGAAUCCGUGUCAGAUGCGGUGCCUGCGACAAACAGAC